UGUGUGUGUGUGUGUGUGUGUCUCUCUCUCUCUCUCUCUCUCUCUAAUAUAUACACACACAUACACAUUCACACA
Molecule: microRNA precursor, 75 nt
Filed under: Pelodiscus sinensis (Chinese soft-shelled turtle)
Lineage: Eukaryota; Metazoa; Chordata; Testudines; Trionychidae
Description: miRNA (ENSPSIG00000020224.1)
Source: RNAcentral